CGGUCCCUCACGCGGUACGGUCUCGUCGACAUAAAGACGGUGUGAAGGAAGCCCGGUGAGAUUCCGGCACGGUCGCGCCACUGUGAACCCGGCGAGCUCCCUCAACAGGGGGCGAAGACGGGGAAGUCAGACCCACCACCGUCGACAAAGGCACCAA
Streptomyces sp. ERV7 is the source of this 157-nucleotide non-coding RNA. Lineage: Bacteria; Bacillati; Actinomycetota; Actinomycetes; Kitasatosporales; Streptomycetaceae. The record is from Rfam.